This 72-nucleotide transfer RNA is filed under the name Ornithorhynchus anatinus (platypus). It matches the Rfam family "tRNA". From Rfam's summary of the family: Transfer RNA (tRNA) molecules are approximately 80 nucleotides in length. Lineage: Eukaryota; Metazoa; Chordata; Mammalia; Monotremata; Ornithorhynchidae. The record is from Rfam by way of RNAcentral.
AGCAGCGUGGCUCAGUGGAAAGAGCACGGGCUUGGGAGUCAGAGGUCAUGGGUUCGAAUCCCAGCUCUGCUA